This 85-nucleotide transfer RNA is filed under the name Methanoculleus thermophilus. Its description in RNAcentral is "tRNA-Leu". It matches the Rfam family "tRNA". Rfam says of the family: Transfer RNA (tRNA) molecules are approximately 80 nucleotides in length. Their secondary structure includes four short double-helical elements and three loops (D, anti-codon, and T loops). Further hydrogen bonds mediate the characteristic L-shaped molecular structure. tRNAs have two regions of fundamental functional importance: the anti-codon, which is responsible for specific mRNA codon recognition, and the 3' end, to which the tRNAs corresponding amino acid is attached (by aminoacyl-tRNA synthetases). tRNAs cope with the degeneracy of the genetic code in two manners: having more than one tRNA (with a specific anti-codon) for a particular amino acid; and 'wobble' base-pairing, i.e. permitting non-standard base-pairing at the 3rd anti-codon position. The record is from RNAcentral. Lineage: Archaea; Methanobacteriati; Methanobacteriota; Methanomicrobia; Methanomicrobiales; Methanomicrobiaceae.
GCGAGGGUUGCCAAGCCAGGUCAAAGGCGCUGGAUUCAGGGUCCAGUCUCGAAGGAGUUCGAGCGUUCAAAUCGCUCCCCUCGCA